Molecule: ribosomal RNA, 489 nt
Filed under: uncultured bacterium
Lineage: Bacteria
Description: bacterial SSU rRNA
Rfam family: Bacterial small subunit ribosomal RNA
Source: RNAcentral
GAUGAACGCUAGCGGCAGGCUUAACACAUGCAAGUCGAGGGGCAGCAUAAAACAUUGCUUGCAAUGUUUGGUGGCGACCGGCGCACGGGUGCGUAACGCGUAUGCAACCUACCUAUAACAGGGGGAUAACACUGAGAAAUUGGUACUAAUACACCAUGGUAUUGAGUUUAGGCAUCUUUACUCAAUUAAAGAAUUUCGGAAACGGAUAGGCUCGCGUGACAUUAGCUGGAUGGCGGGGUAACGGCCCACCAUGGCGACGAUGUCUAGGGGUUCUGAGAGGAAGGUCCCCCANACUGGUACUGAGACACGGACCAGACUCCUACGGGAGCAGCAGUGAGGAAUAUUGGGUCAAUGGGGCGAGAGCCUGAACCAGCCAAGUCGCGUGAGGGAUGACGGUCCUACGGAUUGUAAACCUCUUUUGUCGGGAGCAAGAGCUCUACGUGUAGAGUAGUGAGAGGUACCCGAAGAAAAAGCAUCGGCUAACUCCGU